UCCAUUUGAAAAUGCUACAAGACGUUGUUGCCUCUUGCACCCAGUGGCGUGAAAAUCUUGGAAGAUGAUAACUGCUUCCAGUAAGGCCCUGUGUUUACUCAGGUUUCUUCAUUUCCCAUAUGUGUGUGUUUGCACGCCAAGCCGGGAGCAUGUACUCCCAUGAUUAGUAACUUCUUACAAAAUAGACUUCCUCAAUUUACUGCAAAUUCUGAAGGAAUAGGAAUGAAGCAAAUAAAUGUGGUCCAUCUUUCUUCAGGACCAGAUGCUCCUGCAGUGUGUAUCUGGCAAUUCUUUCAUCCACCUAUUAGACCAGCUGGAAUGGGGAAAGAGGAAUGCUUUGAAUAAGAAUACAACAGUUGCAGGAAGAUUUUUCAUCAGCCAGGGCUGUUGAUAAAACAGUCAGCUUGAGGUUAGGAGUGACGCAUAUUGGAGUCUCUGCCUAAGACAUCAAAGUUAUUCAUCAGAGGACCUGAAAGUAAAUCGUAGUCUCCCAAUUGUUGUUUUUUUCUUUUUUUUAAGCUGGUGCCAUUCAGGCAAUAGCACGCAUCUAGGCUAACGCUAACCUAGAAUUUGUCAGCCCAUAAUUCUAAUAAUCUUUCAAAGUAUUUCCAUCUAAUCUCAGAGAGAUCAACAUUGUCAAUUUGAAUAGUUAAUUCCUCUAGUUACAGAAAUUGCUUGGCAAAUGCUCAUAUUAAUUUACCAAUUAAAGGAGUCACCUGGAUCAUGGCCAGCAGUGUCUCACAUGGCACAUGGUGGCUCUCCUACACACCCAAUCCAGACCUAUUCUAGGCAAAAUAUAUAAUUUUGUAUAGAAAAUAAGACUUAUACUGGGGUUUAAUAUGAGAAAAAUGAGAAGAAUAAAGACGAUUUCUUACUGUGGUGGUUGCAAACCUGGAUCCUGGAAUCAGGACAUGAACUUGAAUUGCGAUGAUAAAACUUUCUUACUUGUAUUGUUUGGGUUCCUCGCCUGCAAUAUGGAAUGGUUGCAGUGAGGUACACUGAGAUCAGGUAAAGGACAUGUGGACAGAGCCUGCACACAGCGAGAGCUCAGAGCUUAGAGCCGUUGCUCCGCUUUUCUGAUCCCGCCUACCCAGGCCUACUCAAUCUUCACCAGCCCUAAAGGAAAAGAGAACAGAAGCAAAAAAAUAAAUAAAUAAAUACAGGCAAAGGCUACCUGGUGGGAGAGAGAAUGGGAAGAACUGUGGAGAACUUUCUAGAACUGUUGCUGUACCCUCAGAAGUAAUGAAAUGAAGUUAAAGUCUUCCUUUCACUUGUUCUUUUGCAACCAGGCUGACCCAGCCUGAACAUCAGACUUUAUGUUUGCACUUCUCUCUUUGUGACUGUUCUCAUAAGAAAAGGACUGCUGUGCUGCUGUGUUUUCCAAAAAUUACAGGGAAAAUACCACUGGGGAAAAAACCAAACCCCUCCAAAUAGCUGUUUCCUUUAUUCAGCUACAACUGUCCUAUAGUGCUAUCUGCCCUCACAGCUAAGCUGAGCAGAGCUCUUGGGAGCUCCACAGAUCCCUGGGAUGCAGCUUUCUGAGGUUAGAUAGAACAAGGUACCUGGGGGUUUCCAGGCUACUCUAGAAAUGUUGUUUCUCGGGGGGUCCAAAGUUUUCCACCAUUUUUUCUACAUGGGUGGAAUAAUGAAAAUGAGCAUGAAGAGGAGGCCGAGGAGGAGCAAAAAGAUAUGUCCUAGUGUUAUUUUUAUCAUCUGCAAAGGGAACAAUUUCUUUAGAUAUCGACUCCACUUUGACAAAGCUGCUGCAUCCAGAUAUCCUAUACUGUGAACAACUUUUGGUCAUCUAGCCACAUUUCUGGCAAAUAUACAAAAGGUAACAGAUAUUCAUAGUUUGGAAUACCCAAAAGUAUUUCUAUCCUUUAGAAAGGUUUGGAGUGUAGGAAAAACAGAGCAAGUUACUGUUUGGCUCGUUCAAGCCUGGCUUAAUUACAAGCAUUUCAAAUUCAGAGCAUCUGGAAGCUUCUUCGAUGUACUUCCAAGUACACAGCUUAGAGAAGCGUGCGCUUUGAUAGUCCCAACGAGGGUGGCUGUAUACAAGGCCACUGAGCCCUUGACAACAUGUUUUCUGUCUCCAGGUCCCUCACAGCAAGGUGUUUGUGAGGCUGGUUGCUCAGGCACCAGGCGAUGCUCUCCACUCUCCUCUCAUCCUCCUGCUGCUAAUAAACCCCCUGGGAGCCGAUUAUAAUGCAGUUACUCCUCCAGCAGAGGUUCAGCCUGCAUUUUAUAGAAGGCACCCCAUAUUGCUCACUAGAGACCCUGGAAUCAGAGUUCUGUUCAGUGUCUGUCUGUAUUCCCUGGAACUUUCACAUUACUGAAUCUGCGAAGAACACAAAACUUGCCUUUUUUGAGUAUAUGUGGGUAAGGCUCGAUGGCGAGUGUGAGGCACAUUGACCUGUUUACCAAAACAUCUUUGAAAUGAGAGUAAUUUCAGUUACUGAAGUGAUGACAUUUUGUUUUAGCCCUCUCCUCUGAGUGAAUUAUGUGAAAAUGUCUAAACAAGCAAAAAUGCUCUUUCUGUACAUUGCAAAAUGGAGGCCUUUAAAGCAACCUACUAAUAUUGUUUAUUUAAGGGAAAACAUUUAAGAAAGUGUAGCCAUGCAAUUAAGCAAGAUUUUUCAAAACUGCUCUCUAAGGACGCUCAGUCCAGCUUUGCUUACAGAACUGGAACAGAAUAGUGAUUAGGAAGUUAAAAUGCGGUUGUAUUUUCAGUGUGGGCAUCCUAGCUCAAUGGCCCCCAGCAAGAUGACACAGAUACUCCAUUCACAUUUUUAUGCUAAAUCUGCCCUGGACCCCUUUGUCUGCCAAGGCUGAAAAGCAGGUGUGAGAAAAGAUAAGGAAACAGUCACAAAUCUUCAGACGUUUUCUGAAUCUCCUUUAUGGAACGAACCUGUAUUAGUGUUACUUUCUUCAAGAAGCAUUCUUUCAGAAAGGAGUUUUCUGAAGGAAACGAGCUCUGAUUAGGAUAGUCCAUUUUUCUCUUUCCAAAGCUUUGAUCUAUCACAGACCAAGAAUCCGAUGAAAUGGAUCACAAUGUUUUGAGAAGAGACUGAAAUAUUCCCAUUGUGUGACCAGCACCUUCUUAGUACAGCCUCGUGGAGCAGAAGAAGUAAAAAAAAAAAAAAAGGAGACCUGAUUGUUGUUUGUGUAUUUUUCACCUGCAGAUAGCCUUGAAGCCUCUCCGAAGAGAGAGCUAUUCUGAUCCUGUCAACUUUCUAGCUAUCUGUUAUUAAAGGAAUAUGUGUAUAGACCUCCUAUCUGUAAAGUAAUAGCAUUAUCCAAAAUAAAUUAUCUUUGCAAGUAACUACAACUUUCCUUCCAAAUAACAAAGUGAUGCUUAACUUUGAGACAGGACUUGCUGCAAUAGAUGACACACUGUGAAGAACAGACAAUAAAAAACAGAAUUUAGCCCUUUUUAAAUGAUUUGGGAUCAUCUUCUCAGCUCAGGCAAAAGCCAUUUAGAGUUAUAGGCAAUGUCUCUGGGUUGACAGCAAGAAUAAGGUGAUGCCAGUUUAUAGGAGUUGGGGGCACAAAACCCUCUGGAUUCUGUAUUGAGUAUGAGUGGCCCCUGUUCCCAAGUAUGUGACUUGGGAGAUGAAGGGCACCUAGAUUUGCUGACUAGGAGGCUUCCCUGUGCAAUUAUUGUAAAAUUAGACACAAAUAAAUACUGGGGUCAUGUUCAUUCCAUUUAUGAUUGUGGUGUCUUGAAUGGAGGCCACCAGACCUGAGCCACCUUCCCUUGAGAAAAGCACUCAAGUUGCAAAAUACAGAUCCCACUUAUUCCUGGAGACAUCUAUCGGCCACCAAAUCUAUCUGUACUCAUGAUCACAGCAAUGAGAAGGAGCCCCUGGUUGUGGGAAGUACUCCCACUUCUUUCUUCUGAAGAAGAAAGAAUAAGACACUUUUACUGAGCAGGGCCUUUGCAUUUCUCUAAACAGCGUUGCUCAUCUUUUUGCUUUUAUUCACUAAUAAACACAUGAGAAUAUGAACAUUUGGUGAGCAGGAAGCAAAUAAUAAACACACACACAUAUAUGUAUAUGUGUAUACAUAUAUCUAUUCACAUAUAUAUUCAUAUACACAUAUGUGUGUGUAUCUCCACAUAUAACAUAUCUCCAUAUAUUAUAUAAAUGACAAAAAGAGGAAACACUAUUUGUUGAAAUCACCCAUUUUCACACAGUCAUUGAGCUUCUUCCUUAAGAGUUGAUAUUUUUAAAAUAAAGUUCCAAUUUUUAGUUUUGUAACCUUAAAAAGUGAACUUAUAAAAUAAAUAGAUUUUCAACGUAUUCACAUAUUUUUGAAAUCCAAAUAAUCUAUUAAUAAUCAUAGGAAUUUUAAAAAGCAUCCAUAAUUAUAUUUUCCCCUUUUAUGUGUAGAAUCUGUGCUGUCUUAGUCUGUCUGGGGAGCCAUAAUAAAAUACUAUACACCCAGAAAUUAAACACCAGACAUUUAUUUUCUUUCAGUUCUAGAGAUUGAAAAUCUGACAUAUGAGGGUGCUUGCAUGGCUGAGUUCUGGGAAAAGCCUUCUUCCUGCUUGCAGGUGGCCACCUUCUCACAUGUCUUCAUGUGGUAGAGAGGGAGAAAGCAAGCUCUUUGGUGUCUCUUUUUAGAAGGGCACUAAUCCCAUCAUGAGGGCCCCAUCCUCAUGACAUCAUAUAACUCCAGUCACCUCCCAAUGGCCCUAUCUUCAAAUACCAACACAAAUAAAUUAGACACAAAUAAAUACUGGGGUCAUGUUCAUUCCAUUUAUGAUUGUGGUAUCAAUAUAUAAAUUUAGGUGGGGGCAAAGGGAGACAAAAUAUUCAGUUCAUAAUACAUGCCUAUCACAUUUGCGAAUUACACAAAGCCCCAAGGGAGACUAUGCACUGUAAUUUUGUGUCUAGUCUGAGCUCUGUAUAUCGUGUGAGACAAUGAAAAGCAGAACUGUAUUUAGAGGAAAGAGAUAAAUUGGGCAAUGUUCUAGAAACCAUAUCAUAAAAGUAAUUGAAAAAACCACAGUUCUUUAUCCUCAAGAAAGAACUAAGAGGGAGCACAACCCACAAAUACUGUUUGUAGAUAGUUGGAGAGUUGCCUGUAGAAGAAGGAUUUGACUUCUCUCUGGUGCUAGCAUGUGAAAUAAGUGAAAGGUAGAAGGAGGUAGAUUUUGGAUAAAUAUAAGGUGGAACUUCCCUGUAAACAAAGCUCCUCAAAAUUGUAAAUUAGUAAGCUCUUUAGCACUGAGCUCAUUCAGGCAGGCAAUCCUCUUUCAGAGACGUCCUGAUGGAAAUAUUUAAAUUAGAACUUGAAACUAGAUUUCUCCACAAUGCAUUCUGACUCUAAGAUGUUAUGUUUUAAGAGCCCACUCUUUAAUAAUAAUGUCUUUAAAAAAUUUGUAUAGGUAUAUAAGAGAAAAUAUAAAGACCAAAGUAAUCUAUAAUAUUAUUUGUGUGUUGAAUGAAGGGUAAGAAGGGAGAUAGAAAAUGUGUUCUUCUUCCUUAGAGAUACAGUUAAGAUGAAGCAUUCAAAGGAAAUGGAAGUGUUCUGAUCAAAUGGGUAAAAAGAAUUAUAAACAUAGGAAUGGGCUGAUAACUAGAAAAAUCUCACCUCAGGGAAAUCAUGAGACAAGAGUUUUGUUGUUGCUGUUGCUUUGUUUUGUUUGUUUUGUUUAGGGGCCUACAUUUUGUUUAUUGCAUGACCUGUAUUUGUUCUGUGGAAAAGACAGACUGAUGGAUGUUUAUCAUCCAAUGAAUAGUUGGUCAGCUUGUUGUAAGAAAACUUCACCUUAGUCAAUCGAAAAUAAAAUUGAUCUGUUAGUUAUCUGCCAUCACUGAGGAAAUGCAACCCUUAAGUAAUCUCACUUUUAUGUAAUCAGUUUCUAUACUAUAGUCCACUGUCUCUUUUUUUAUGUUGAGAAUACAUAAAAAUUCAUUUUCCCCUAACAAAGAUAUGCUUUUCAGAUUAAUUUGCCUUCUCUUCUGAAAAUUAAAUUCUACGUAAUUAAACCAACUGAAAAUACAAACAGCCUAAAAGAUUAUCAAUUACAAGGAACUUGGUAAAACACUUGUGGGUCCAAUGGUUGACUAAACUUGCUAGAAAAUGAGAUAAUAAGAGCAGGACAGUACCUGUUUUAUCUGUCACUAUAUUGUUUGACCUUCAUGGUACCUGCUAUCAGGAGAUCCUCAAUAAAAAUUUAUCUUAUCAAACGAAGGAAAAAUUAUUUUCAGGGAGCUAUUAACUCAGUUGAUGAAAUAUAUGAAAACCUAUCAUUCAAAUUCAACCUAGAGAAUUGAUUUAAUUAUGGUGGUUUAUGUUGGUUUUUCAGGAGUUAACUGCCCACUUGGUGGGUUUCUGGUUUCUCUUUAUUUUCUUGGUUCUGUUUGCUGUUUUGUUACUGCAUGGGCAAGAAGUGUUUAAGAAGAUACGAAACUCAAAUUCAAUUUGAACAUGAUUAUGCCUCAAAUUUAAUUACAGAUUCUAUUAAUAGAAAGUUUGCUUUUACGAAACCCUUAUGAGUCUAAAAGAAAGACUAUCUAAAAGAAGUAUGUGGUUAAUAUGGAUUAUAUGGGGAAUGCAUUGUUGCAAACUAUGGUCACAGUAUGAAAAAAAAAUUGAAACAAAAAAAUGUGUCUUUGGAUAUCCUGAGGUGAGAAAUCAAAUGCACAAUUUUAUUGCAGAAGGUAGAAGAUUCGGUCCGAAAACAUACUGAGCUGGGAGUUAGGAACCCUGAAUUUUCAUCAGAGUCAUUGUUGUCAUUUAGCAUCUUGGACUCCAAUUAAUUCAUUGAUAAAAUGAAGCCUAGGAUUUAGUCACAGAAGCCAUGGAUAAAAAACUUGCUUUGUAAGUGUGAUGUCGGACAAGGCAGAAAGAAUGACAAGGGCCAUCAGAGAGCUGUAGAGAGGAAAAAGCAGCUGUGAGCUUUCAAGCUUUAUGACUGUGCCUUGAGUUACCUUCAACAUGCAUGUUCUUUGAGGAGACAUACAUGAAGAUAGAUUAUUUUCCUAUAGCUACAAAAUCAAACUGUUCUCUUUCACAUGAUUCUUAAAGAUUUUUGGUUUGUUUUGGUUUUGGUUGUUGCUUACUCCACAAAAGAGCUUCUUUGAUGAAGUAUAUGUCAAUAAGAUGUUAUUCAAUCCA
Cebus imitator (Panamanian white-faced capuchin) is the source of this 7128-nucleotide long non-coding RNA. RefSeq lists it as uncharacterized. The record is from RefSeq and is a predicted model, not a curated record. The transcript is spliced from 2 exons. Lineage: Eukaryota; Metazoa; Chordata; Mammalia; Primates; Cebidae.